GCCUGGGUGGCUCAGUCAGUUAAGCUUCUGACUUCGGCUCAGGUCGUGAUCUCACGGUUUGUGGGUUCGAGCCCCACGUUGGGCU
This 85-nucleotide transfer RNA is filed under the name Felis catus (domestic cat). It matches the Rfam family "tRNA". From Rfam's summary of the family: Transfer RNA (tRNA) molecules are approximately 80 nucleotides in length. Their secondary structure includes four short double-helical elements and three loops (D, anti-codon, and T loops). Lineage: Eukaryota; Metazoa; Chordata; Mammalia; Carnivora; Felidae. RNAcentral also lists the same sequence under 1 other name. The record is from Rfam by way of RNAcentral.